Molecule: ribosomal RNA, 253 nt
Filed under: uncultured bacterium
Lineage: Bacteria
Description: partial 16S ribosomal RNA
Rfam family: Bacterial small subunit ribosomal RNA
Source: RNAcentral
UACGGAGGAUCCAAGCGUUAUCCGGAUUUAUUGGGUUUAAAGGGUGCGUAGGCGGAUUGAUGAGUUAGAGGUGAAAUGUCCGAGCUCAACUCGGGAACUGCCUCUAAUACUGUUGAUCUAGAGAGUAGAUGCGGUAGGCGGAAUGUAUGGUGUAGCGGUGAAAUGCUUAGAGAUCAUACAGAACACCGAUUGCGAAGGCAGCUUACCAAUCUAUAUCUGACGUUGAGGCACGAAAGCGUGGGGAGCAAACAGG